Molecule: non-coding RNA, 1408 nt
Organism: Osmia lignaria (orchard mason bee)
Lineage: Eukaryota; Metazoa; Arthropoda; Insecta; Hymenoptera; Megachilidae
Source: RefSeq, a predicted model, not a curated record
CUAGCACAAGAAUCAAUGACUGGUGAAUCUCAAAAUUUGAUUAGGCAACAUGUCAUUAUUCAACUUGUUCUACUUCUAUAUUCUAUAUUCUACUUCUAUAUUUGCACCAAUGAAUAGAUAGUAAAAGCAGCGUCUAUUAAUUCAACAGCAGCAUCGGGCAAACCCGAUGUUCCUGAGAAAUUUCUGAGGAAGGUCAGUUCACUGCAAGUUGUCGUCUACGUUGUAUCAGUCAAAACCGAUCUUUAGGAUGGGCUUGCAAUAUUUUAUAUUUUUAUUCACAUUCUUUUAUUCAGGUUUAUAUACAGCAACUGGAGCUGACUGGAGUUAUUCGGGUGAACAUGGUCCAAAACAUUGGCCAGGCUUAUGCACGACAGGAAAGAAACAAUCGCCAAUUAACAUUGUCACUGAAGAUGCUGUAAAAACGGAUCUCGGUGAACUGAAAUUUAUAAAGUACAGUUUUGCUUUUGCUGGGGACGUCACCAAUAAUGGUCAUUCUGUAAAAAUACAAAUACGUCCUGCACCUAUUCGUUUGGAAGGAGCAAACCUUCCAAACUCGUACAUUUUGGAAGAAAUGCAUUUUCAUUGGCCUGCUGAGCACACUGUAGAUGUGAAUCGUGAUGUCUUAGAGGUACAUUUUGUGCACUAUAGCAAUAAGUAUCACAAUACUAGUAUGGCAGCACAAUAUGAUAAGGGUAUUGCUGUGGUUGCUAGUUUAUUCAAGUUGAGCAUCGAAGACAAUAUGGACAUAAUGCCAGUUAUAAAUUUAACGGAAUUAGUUUCAAAAGAUGUGGGUAAAAGCACAAGAAUAAAGGGGACUAUGGUAUUACCAUCCUGGUUCUUACCAAAGGACCACACUACCUAUUAUCAUUAUGAUGGCUCCUUAACCACUCCAGGAUGUCAGGAAUCUGUAAUGUGGUUCAUUUUAUCUGAGAAACUAUCGAUCUCAGAGGCACAGUUAAAUGUUUUUAAGAAUGUUGGAACGGAAAAUGGCACGUUAUGCUUCAAUUAUAGACCAACUCAGCCUCUUGAAGGGAGAACAGUGUACCAUCAUCUGGAGGGGUAUUCUGCAGCAUCCACCCUCCCAUCUAAUUUACUCUUGACUUGUCUCAGUUUAUUAUUAUGUAAACUGUUGCACUCAAAAUAAUAGAAAUAUUUAAUUGAGUACAAUUGUGAUCAGUCUUGUUGUGUUUAUUGAAUGAAGUGACUCAAAUAUAGGGUGUUCGAAAACGAAUGGUUGAAAAAUUUAAAAGGACACCGUAGAUCUACUUUAUGUUAGACGAACAUUUUUACGAUGUACAUCUUUUUUUGAGUCAACCUGUACAUUUGCACUUCAAGCACCUGAACGAAUCAUCGCAUACUCACGUUAUAUCAGUGAUAGACCAGUAAAAUACCGUUUACUUCUCAACGA